CUCCUCCUUUCACGUGCACAGCGACCUGGCAGCUGCUGUCCCGGGGAGCACCAUUCUGCAAAGGGACUGGCUGAGCUGAGCUGAGGGAAUGGAAACCUUCUGGGUAAAUCCCCAUUUAUCCACACUACAAUUGCUACAGAAAUAAUUCAGAGGAAAUUAGAGCCACACUAUGACAAAGGAAUUGCAGCAGGUGUCUUUCACAGAGGGAACACAAUUGUGAAGCUUGCUGGCAUCCUGCUCGCUCAGUCUCUCCAGCAUUGGCAGCUGGGUGAGGGGCUGCUGUCAGAGGAAAGGCUUUAGCCCAGCUGUGGCUGGAUGUGUCCACAGCAAAGGAAGCAGCAACAAAGCAUGCUGGAUUGGUCUGGAGUCCCUGUCCCAUGUCUGUCACCGUGUGCUGUCCCCUAUUCUACUGAGCACUCCUUAUCACAUUCCUCUUAAGAGGGCAUGGCCUGACACCACAGCGAGAUGGGCUGCUGUGAUACUGCAGACUUAGAGCAUGUGAAGAUCUGGAUGACUUUCAUCUUUGUAGCCAAUGUGCAAUUUCAAGAAAAGGGCACCCUGCCAUGGAUAUUGUACCUUUGUCACUAGCACUUAAAACCUGUGUUGAAGCAGAGAAAGCGCAAAAGUUGAAAUAAAAAAAUUCUCA
Non-coding RNA from Cyanistes caeruleus (blue tit), 646 nucleotides. The record is from RefSeq and is a predicted model, not a curated record. NCBI's taxonomy places the organism in Eukaryota, Metazoa, Chordata, Aves, Passeriformes, Paridae.